RNAcentral lists this ribosomal RNA (822 nucleotides) under uncultured Staphylococcus sp. RNAcentral's name for it is "bacterial SSU rRNA". It matches the Rfam family "Bacterial small subunit ribosomal RNA", at positions 83 to 891 of the family's 1533-position model. The record is from RNAcentral. Lineage: Bacteria; Bacillati; Bacillota; Bacilli; Caryophanales; Staphylococcaceae.
CCUUUGACGUUAGCGGCGGACGGGUGAGUAACACGUGGGUAACCUACCUAUAAGACUGGGACAACUUCGGGAAACCGGAGCUAAUACCAGAUAAUAUGUUGAACCGCAUGGUUCAAUAGUGAAAGAUGGUUUUGCUAUCACCUAUAGAUGGACCCGCGCCGUAUUAGCUAGUUGGUGAGGUAACGGCUCACCAAGGCAACGAUACGUAGCCGACCUGAGAGGGUGAUCGGCCACGCUGGAACUGAGACACGGUCCAGACUCCUACGGGAGGCAGCAGUAGGGAAUCUUCCGCAAUGGGCGAAAGCCUGACGGAGCAACGCCGCGUGAGUGAUGAAGGUCUUAGGAUCGUAAAACUCUGUUAUUAGGGAAGAACAAACGUGUAAGUAACUGUGCACGUCUUGACGGUACCUAAUCAGAAAGCCACGGCUAACUACGUGCCAGCAGCCGCGGUAAUACGUAGGUGGCAAGCGUUAUCCGGAAUUAUUGGGCGUAAAGCGCGCGUAGGCGGUUUUUUAAGUCUGAUGUGAAAGCCCACGGCUCAACCGUGGAGGGUCAUUGGAAACUGGAAAACUUGAGUGCAGAAGAGGAAAGUGGAAUUCCAUGUGUAGCGGUGAAAUACGCAGAGAUAUGGAGGAACACCAGUGGCGAAGGCGACUUUCUGGUCUGUAACUGACGCUGAUGUGCGAAAGCGUGGGGAUCAAACAGGAUUAGAUACCCUGGUAGUCCACGCCGUAAACGAUGAGUGCUAAGUGUUAGGGGGUUUCCGCCCCUUAGUGCUGCAGCUAACGCAUUAAGCACUCCGCCUGGGGAGUACGACCGCAA